GGACAGAGGUCAAAAAUCCACAGCAAAUGGAGGUGCCAACUAGGAAUGGAUGAACUCAGAUAAAUUUGGGGAUCUGUUUCUGCCCUAGUUUGUUUAAUCAAAUACGAAGAUGUUUAGAACUUCUUGAAAACCAUUGCUUUUUCCCCCACAAAGGGUAAUUAGACUACAAGCAAUAGUACAUCUGUCUACCUAAAUCACCUUUGAAAUCUGAGGCCAACAUGGAUGGAAAUCAACCGCAGAGAAGGCAAAUGCUGCACAUUCAGAAUGGAGUUUGCAGCUUGGUAGAGAUUUGGUUUCUAGAUUUGAAUUGCAGAGGAUCCUCCUACUAUCUGUUACUCAUACAAUAUGACAGACAUGCACCUCCCAUCCCCUCCACCUACUUCCCACCCUCUACGAAUGUCAACAAAAGGAAAAUGAAUGUACUGGAAUACAGAUUUGCUUCAAAGACACGUUGAAGAUCAGGACAAUGAAUUUGGAGACUAUUCCUCUGAUCGGUUUAAACCUUAUUAAUAUUUAUAGGUGUGCAGGUUUACUGAUGGGAUUCCACCUUUUUUUUCAUUUAGAAAGUCAGUUAUGAAAGCAGCACAUUGUAAUUUAUACGUGCUUGCCCAAAACUUCCUUCAUGAAUCACAAAUCACCACCUUUAAAAACUUCAUAGCAACACUGAGCUAGUUUCUACAGCAAAUCAGGGUUUAAAAAUGGCUGGAAGAGGCUGAGAACUGAGAGUAGUCCUGGAGCAAAUAAAUGACAGCUUGCACAAAUAAAAUGGAAAACUGUUAAACAAUAAACA
This is a long non-coding RNA of Mauremys mutica (yellowpond turtle), 790 nucleotides long. RefSeq lists it as uncharacterized. The transcript is spliced from 3 exons. The record is from RefSeq and is a predicted model, not a curated record. Lineage: Eukaryota; Metazoa; Chordata; Testudines; Geoemydidae.